AAUAAAAUUCUUUAUGGUUUGAUAAUUUAUUAUAAUUUAUUUCAAUAUAAUUUAGUGUUAAAUAUUAAUUAUUUAAAUAAUAAUUAUUUAUUUUUAUAGUAAUUAAUAUUAAAUUAUUUAAGAAAUUAAGAUUUAGUAAUAUUUAAAUUAAUAACAAAUUUUGUGCCAGCAGUUGCGGUUAAACAAAAAUUAAAUUGAAUUUUAUUAGUGAUUAAUAAAUAAUUUAUUUAUAAAAAAAAUUUUAAAUUAUUAAGUGAAAUUUUAAUUUAAUUAAAAUUUAUGAUUAAUUUUUAUGAUUUAAUAAAUUUUU
Molecule: ribosomal RNA, 310 nt
Filed under: Helicoverpa punctigera
Lineage: Eukaryota; Metazoa; Arthropoda; Insecta; Lepidoptera; Noctuidae
Description: partial 12S ribosomal RNA
Source: RNAcentral